CUACAUGAAGCUGGAAUUGCUAGUAAUGGCAGGUCAGCAUACUGCCGUGAAUACGUUCCCGGGCCCUUGUACACACCGCCCGUCACACCAUGAGAGUUGGGGAUACCCGAAGCCUGUGAGCCAACUGUAAAGAGGCAGCAGUCGAAGGUAGAAUCAAUGAUUGGGGUGAAGUCGUAACAAGGUACC
This 186-nucleotide ribosomal RNA is filed under the name uncultured bacterium. RNAcentral describes it as "partial 16S ribosomal RNA". It matches the Rfam family "Bacterial small subunit ribosomal RNA", at positions 1316 to 1500 of the family's 1533-position model. The record is from RNAcentral.